GACGUCAUGAUUUAUUUAAAUUCAAUGGUCUCAUUAUGGGUUUGAGCUAUAUAUUUCGUGAUAUGAAUUAUUAGAUCAUAUUUUGUAUAGCUUUUGAAGCAGUUACCUCUAGCAUAAGCAUGGAUCACGAAAUAGACUUCAUACUCUAAGAGUUGUACAAAAUGCAAUUUAAUGAUUUACACUAUAAAGAAAUAUCGAUCAUCAUUCUUUCGUGCAAAAGAUACAACCCCCACCUGCUCAUUAUAACCUUAUAAGCGGUUCAAUGUGGUUGGAAUUAGUAACAAGU
RNAcentral lists this long non-coding RNA (286 nucleotides) under Elaeis guineensis (African oil palm). Its description in RNAcentral is "long non-coding RNA (EGUI_LNC001972)". Lineage: Eukaryota; Viridiplantae; Streptophyta; Magnoliopsida; Arecales; Arecaceae. The record is from RNAcentral.